RNAcentral lists this ribosomal RNA (506 nucleotides) under uncultured bacterium. Its description in RNAcentral is "partial 16S ribosomal RNA". It matches the Rfam family "Bacterial small subunit ribosomal RNA", at positions 29 to 523 of the family's 1533-position model. The record is from RNAcentral.
AGCGAACGUUAGCGGCGCGCCUAACACAUGCAAGUCGCACGGAGUAGCAAUACUCAGUGGCGCACGGGUGCGUAACACGUAGAUAACCUGCCCUGAAGAGGGGGAUAACGUUCCGAAAGGAGCGCUAAUACCGCAUAACGCUGAGACGGGUUCGCCUGUUUCGGACAAAGGCUGGGACCAGCAAUGGCCAGGCGCUUUAGCAGGGGUCUGCGGCCCAUCAGCUAGUUGGUAAGGUAAUGGCUUACCAAGGCAAAGACGGGUAGCUGGUCUGAGAGGAUGAUCAGCCACACUGGUACUGGAACACGGACCAGACUCCUACGGGAGGCAGCAGUGGGGAAUCUUGGUCAAUGGGCGCAAGCCUGAACCAGCGACGCCGCGUGAGUGAUGAAGGCCUUCGGGUUGUAAAGCUCUGUGGGGAGGGACGAAAGACUGAGGUCUAAUAGGCUUCAGGUUGACGGUACCUCCUUAGCAAGCACCGGCUAACUCUGUGCCAGCCGCCGCAGUAA